UGUGGCCGGAACCCUGUGCCAGUCGAUCAUCGUAUGCUGGUGCAGUGCUCUCCCUGCCGCG
The sequence is a non-coding RNA, 61 nucleotides long. It matches the Rfam family "gabT RNA".